AAAAUCUUACCUUAUGUGGACGACCCUGAAGUUAUUCAGUAAGACUUUUCGAGUCUCUUGGGCAUUUUCACUGAGGUCCUCAUCUUGAAGGAUAUCUGCAACAAACAGCUCGCAGUCUGAAGAGAAGAGAAAACAUUGAAGCCUACGGGGUCAGGGCGAGUUGAAUCCCAUGUCAGAACUGUCCCCAUGUUGACCUGCGCCUGACUGGCCUCCCAGCAAAAAAGCCCCUGUGAAGAUGUGAGAUCGUGACAGUGCAAAGUCUGGCAGCAUGUGCAGCUUCCUCCU
This is a long non-coding RNA of Dicentrarchus labrax (European seabass), 285 nucleotides long. RefSeq lists it as uncharacterized. The record is from RefSeq and is a predicted model, not a curated record. Lineage: Eukaryota; Metazoa; Chordata; Actinopteri; Moronidae. The transcript has 3 exons.